AGAGCGAACGCUGGCGGCAUGCUUAACACAUGCAAGUCGCACGGUCAGCAAUGGCAGUGGCGGACGGGUGAGUAACGCGUAGGUAUCUAUCCUUGGGUGGGGGAUAACCAUGGGAAACUAUGGCUAAUACCGCAUGACACCUGUGGGUCAAAGGCGCGAGUCGCCUGAGGAGGAGCCUGCGUACGAUUAGCUUGUUGGUGGGGUAAAGCCUACCAAGGCGACGAUCGUUAGCUGGUCUGAGAGGAUGAUCAGCCACAUUGGGACUGAGACACGGCCCAAACUCCUACGGGAGGCAGCAGUGGGGAAUAUUGGACAAUGGGCGAAAGCCUGAUCCAGCAAUGCCGCGUGUGUGAAGAAGGUCUUCGGAUUGUAAAGCACUUUCGACGGGGACGAUGAUGACGGUACCCGUAUAAGAAGCCCCGGCUAACUUCGCGCCAGCAGCCGC
Molecule: ribosomal RNA, 445 nt
Filed under: uncultured bacterium
Lineage: Bacteria
Description: SSU rRNA
Rfam family: Bacterial small subunit ribosomal RNA
Source: RNAcentral